This 287-nucleotide unclassified non-coding RNA is filed under the name uncultured Venturiales. RNAcentral describes it as "sequence contains 5.8S rRNA gene, ITS2, 28S rRNA gene". Lineage: Eukaryota; Fungi; Ascomycota; Dothideomycetes. The record is from RNAcentral.
AACGCACAUUGCGCCUCUCGGUAUUCCGGGAGGCACGCCUGUUCGAGCGCCAUUACACACUCCAAGCUCUGCUUGAUGUUGGACGAAGCGGGACCCGCCUGGCGGGUCGCGCCCGUCUGGAACGUAUGGGCGCCUGCCGCCGAACCACGAGCGUAGCAAGGCAUCAAGUGUCAUUCGCUCUGCUGGGAAUCGGAGGGUAGGCCGCCGGACUUUUUGGGGGGUCUCGACGCCCCAUCACAUCCAUCGAGUUUGGCCUCGGAUCAGGCGGGGAUACCCGCUGAACUUAA